RNAcentral lists this ribosomal RNA (519 nucleotides) under Orbilia oligospora. RNAcentral describes it as "SSU rRNA". It matches the Rfam family "Eukaryotic small subunit ribosomal RNA", at positions 65 to 569 of the family's 1831-position model. The record is from RNAcentral. Lineage: Eukaryota; Fungi; Ascomycota; Orbiliomycetes; Orbiliales; Orbiliaceae.
UCAGAAGGUUGUGGUGGGCUGUCAGGCGGUAUACAGUGAAACUGCGAAUGGCUCAUUAAAUCAGUUAUCGUUUAUUUGAUAGUACCUUACUACUUGGAUAACCGUGGUAAUUCUAGAGCUAAUACAUGCUAAAAAUCCCGACCUCCGGAAGGGAUGUAUUUAUUAGAUAAAAAACCAAUGCCUUCGGGCUCCUUGGUGAUUCAUGAUAACUUAACGAAUCGCAUGGCCUUGCGCCGGCGAUGGUUCAUUCAAAUUUCUGCCCUAUCAACUUUCGAUGGUAGGAUAGUGGCCUACCAUGGUUUCAACGGGUAACGGGGAAUUAGGGUUCGAUUCCGGAGAGGGAGCCUGAGAAACGGCUACCACAUCCAAGGAAGGCAGCAGGCGCGCAAAUUACCCAAUCCCGAUUCGGGGAGGUAGUGACAAUAAAUACUGAUACAGGGCUCUUUUGGGUCUUGUAAUUGGAAUGAGUACAAUUUAAAUCCCUUAACGAGGAACAAUUGGAGGGCAAGUCUGGGCCCC